AGUUGGAAGAUUAGGGCUGACAGUUAUAUGUAAGCUUGGUGCCAGAUCUAACUCUUCCAGCUCA
Molecule: microRNA precursor, 64 nt
Filed under: Lingula anatina
Lineage: Eukaryota; Metazoa; Brachiopoda; Lingulata; Lingulida; Lingulidae
Description: Lan-Mir-750_pre stem-loop
Source: RNAcentral